Aegilops tauschii subsp. strangulata is the source of this 1012-nucleotide non-coding RNA. The record is from RefSeq and is a predicted model, not a curated record. Lineage: Eukaryota; Viridiplantae; Streptophyta; Magnoliopsida; Poales; Poaceae.
GACCCCUCCCUAGCCAGUCUCCCGAGCCCCGGAGCCUCUCCUCGCCUCUCCCUAUCGCCAUGGCCGCCGGCCUCCUCCUCCUAAAUUGGAGCGAGCCGAGCCCUCCCUCUCCUCAUAGCCACCACCACCCGAAGCCCCUCACUCCGGCGACCCUCCCCGGCCUCUCUUCUUCUCGCCGGAGUGCCUCAGACCGCCCCCCCAAAGAUCGGCCCCGCCGCCCUGGUCCUCUGUCUCCUUGAGCCUCCGCCAUCCUGCUCCUCCCCGGUGCUCGUACUGCACCUGGACGGGCGCGACACCUCCUGCCGAGUCCUCCAGUGCCCUCGCCGUUGUCUGAGAUGGCCAGAGCCGCCCGGGAGCCUCGCCGGACCGGUCGGCCUCGCACUGCCUCGGCGCGCCGUUGGGAUGGAGAAGGAAGAAGAGAAGGGAGGAGAGAGAGAGGUGCACGGGCCCCACCAGAUAGUCACACCAGAGCCGGCCCCGCGUUGACCCCGGCGGCCAACGUGGAUAAGUGACGAGCCCCACUGCCCGUGGGACCCGCAUGUCAGCGUCACACGAGCCGGCCCCGCCUCCGCCUAGUCACGUAAGUGGAAGCGUAUUCGCAGGAAUACGUUUCCGUUUCUCGAAAGCGUAUUCUCCCUUCUUAUAAACCAAAGUGCGCUUUCCCUUCUGGAAAGCGUAUUUCCUUUAACUUCAGCUCAAAAUAGGUUUUCCAUUUCAGAAAGCGUACUCAGCCGAAGGCGGUUUCAGUUUUUGCCUCCAGGGACUUGUUUGUUGAAGUUUUAUUCACAGUUUGGUCCCUGGUGUUCAACACCUCAUAACUCCGCAACCGUAACUCCGAUUGAGCCCCCUCCGAGAGAGAACCCUUUCCGGCGAUUACUUCCGCGAUCGUUCCGCACUUCUCCCUGGAGCCUUCUUCAUACCCAGGCAAGGCACAACCACCAUCUGCAUUAUAGCCAUGCAGAAGCAUUGGUUUUCAACUUGAAUAUUUAAUAACUGCAUGUUCGUUUUGCUA